Molecule: long non-coding RNA, 2531 nt
Organism: Astatotilapia calliptera (eastern happy)
Lineage: Eukaryota; Metazoa; Chordata; Actinopteri; Cichliformes; Cichlidae
Source: Ensembl
GUUGGUUUUGAAUCAGAUAGGACGACAGAUUUCAGGUGGCCCUGUGUCUUUCUCUAUUACAUUUGCCACUGUGUAACUCAAAGUUAUUUAAGGACUAGUUUAUUUCAAUGGAUGAGUUUACUGACUGACGCGCAGAAGAAAUAGUUCUUUAUGGAGCCUAGAUGGUGUGAAUGAUGAGACCAAAGACUGCAAUAUCUUGUACCAAAAAUAUAUUGAAUAAAUGGAGGAAAGGGGAAAUGGAACAAAAUAAUUAACACAACACACAACAUAAAUGCCCACAAUUAAAUAAUAAAUCAAUGCUGUGAUCUUUCUGUGCAAAAGUCCUUUUUGGUCCUCUUCUUUUUAAAGUUCACUUUUAAGGUAUUCCUCCUUAGAGUCCAGCUUCAUACAAAUGGGGAAAUAUGUCCGUAAUCCAAAGACGGCUAAGUGGGGGAAAGAGGGGAAACAAAGAAUGGUCCUACCGGCUCGCCACUUCAAUAUGAAGAAGAUUAAUUCAAAGGGAGGGAACAAAACCUGACCUGUAGGUCAGAAAAACGUCCAUUAGCACAUCAAGUUCGAUUCAGUUUACUGGUAAACAAAUAUUUUUCUGCAAGCCUAUGUAACAAUGCAAAUCAUCAUCAACCAAUGUACAACAGUUAAAUUAUUAAUCAUCUUGGCUACGUAGCUUAAUCUAUACAUUCCAGUAGCGUUCGCUACAAACAAUACAAAAACAACAAUAAAGAAAAACAGCUGUCUAACAGACAGCAUAGCCGAAUUCAAGGCAACACAUAACAAUAAUCAUUCAAUCGCACUUUGUUUCAAAGUAAGCCCAUUAAAAUGCUUAAGUAAAUAAAAGUGUUCAAAAACAGCGGUUUUUGAGCCGGAGUUCUGCUCGCGGUGGGAACGCCGCCGCAAAAAGCCACUUUUUAAUCGCGAAAACGAUCGGCUGGUUACUGACAACCAAAAGGUUGUUUUUGGUAGAUAUUAAAGAUCAUGGGUGGGCGGGGCAAAUGGAGCAGUUUUCUACAGUCGAGUAAAAUUCCAGGAAAGAGCUGGGUGUGGCUUUCCUUUAAAUCACAUGAUCAACAGCUUUAAGAUGGAGGCAACUCGCUCAGUGUUUCCUGUUUCAUUCUUAGACUGUGGCGAUGGUAAGUAGCAGCUUUUCACUUGUUACCUGGCAUCUUUUCAGCCACCAAUGAUAGUCAUUGUAUGUUAUCAACAUUUCACUAACUAUGUUGUCUCUCAUGUUUAAAAUAGGCCGACCAAGAGCAAAAUAGGUAUGUCUGCAGACUCUGCUGUAGCCAAAGUUAUCAGAUCUCCUGUGUCUUUAAAUCCCUAACUGCUCGAUCAUUAUCAUUUUAGAAGACAACAAUUUCUCAAAGGAGGUUCAAAACUAAUGCCUACAAGAUUACCAAGAGGAUGGUUCGGGGCUCUUACAUGACUCCGGGAAGUCAACACUUGGUGGAUGAGAUCCUUCACAGCAUGUUGUUUCUGGGCAAAAUCAACAACAUCCCCUUUUCUCCAGAAGAAAUCUUCCCUAAUCCUUUUGUUUUGGGUUCUUUAAUGAGAAGAUAUCCCAGGCCUUUUAAGUUGUAUUCGACUCAGCUUCCCAGGCGAAGUCCCUUCUCCUGUGUGCUCGACAUGAUCGUCCUGCAAAAUAACUCAGAGAAUGAAGAGCAAAUAAAGCAGAGUCUGCAAGAUCUCCUCACAGACUUGGACUUAGAAGAGAAUAAUAAAAAAACAGCUUUCGUCUCGUCCACCAUCUGCAUUUCUCAAAAAUCCCAAACCAACAAAUCAGAAAGGUACUGCGGAGUCUCCAUGUCCACCAAAGGUCCUAACGCUGGGAAAAUUAUGAUUGCUGCCUCCUGUCUUAGCAAAUGGCAUAAAUAUGUAUCUGGUGCGGUGAUGACCUAUUAUCCAAACACAGUCCAGAAAGAUUACUUUGAUGGAACAAUUGAAGUACCUGGAAAUAUCAGGUGUGAGGCUUUUUGUCUCCGUGAUGGUGCCAGAAUGAAGCCUUGCAGAUCAUGUAAGAAUUUGUUUGGCUUGAACACAGAAGACCUCAGAGAGUGGCCAUAUGGUAACUGUGCUGAAGCUGAGAGCCUGAGCAAUUUGCUUGAAAAUGAGAGAGAAGUUGAAACACAUGUGGAUGAAUACUCAGCUGAAAAGGACAACAGGCAGAGAGCUGAGGAUGAGGUUGAUGGGUUCUUAGAACUGUGUUGCAAAGGAUUCGGUUUAACUGGACAGGUGAAUUUUACAACCCAGAACAAGAGUGAGAUUUCAUGAAAUCAUUUGCAUUCAUCAUUCUGAUAAAUCAAAGAUUCUCUGCUCUGACAGCAUCUGUGUGGAUUUUCUGUAAUCACAGAGACGUGUAUAAGCAUGUUUACUUUCCAUCUCCAUGUAAUUGUCACAUUUAAUAAUUAAAACUGGCUUCUAUGGGUUUUUGUUUGUUUGCUUACAUAUCUAGUGUUUAAUGCAAUAUGAAGCAUUAUCAGACAGCAUUUAUUGGGAAGAAUCCCAUGUUUAUACUGGUCUGUACCCAGGGUACACAG